Molecule: ribosomal RNA, 2936 nt
Filed under: Yersinia aleksiciae
Lineage: Bacteria; Pseudomonadati; Pseudomonadota; Gammaproteobacteria; Enterobacterales; Yersiniaceae
Description: bacterial LSU rRNA
Rfam family: Bacterial large subunit ribosomal RNA
Source: RNAcentral
GGGUUGUGAGGUUAAGCGACUAAGCGUACACGGUGGAUGCCUAGGCAGUCAGAGGCGAUGAAGGGCGUGCUAAUCUGCGAAAAGCGUCGGUAAGCUGAUAUGAAGCGUUAUAACCGACGAUACCCGAAUGGGGAAACCCAGUGCAAUUCGUUGCACUAUUGCAUGGUGAAUACAUAGCCAUGCAAGGCGAACCGGGGGAACUGAAACAUCUAAGUACCCCGAGGAAAAGAAAUCAACCGAGAUUCCCCCAGUAGCGGCGAGCGAACGGGGAAGAGCCCAGAGUCUGAAUCAGUUUAUGUGUUAGUGGAAGCGUCUGGAAAGUCGCACGGUACAGGGUGAUAGUCCCGUACACAAAAAUGCAUAUUCUGUGAACUCGAUGAGUAGGGCGGGACACGUGACAUCCUGUCUGAAUAUGGGGGGACCAUCCUCCAAGGCUAAAUACUCCUGACUGACCGAUAGUGAACCAGUACCGUGAGGGAAAGGCGAAAAGAACCCCGGCGAGGGGAGUGAAAUAGAACCUGAAACCGUGUACGUACAAGCAGUGGGAGCACCUUCGUGGUGUGACUGCGUACCUUUUGUAUAAUGGGUCAGCGACUUAUAUUUUGUAGCAAGGUUAACCGAAUAGGGGAGCCGUAGGGAAACCGAGUCUUAACUGGGCGUCUAGUUGCAAGGUAUAGACCCGAAACCCGGUGAUCUAGCCAUGGGCAGGUUGAAGGUUGGGUAACACUAACUGGAGGACCGAACCGACUAAUGUUGAAAAAUUAGCGGAUGACUUGUGGCUGGGGGUGAAAGGCCAAUCAAACCGGGAGAUAGCUGGUUCUCCCCGAAAGCUAUUUAGGUAGCGCCUCGUGAACUCAUCUUCGGGGGUAGAGCACUGUUUCGGCUAGGGGGUCAUCCCGACUUACCAAACCGAUGCAAACUCCGAAUACCGAAGAAUGUUAUCACGGGAGACACACGGCGGGUGCUAACGUCCGUCGUGAAGAGGGAAACAACCCAGACCGCCAGCUAAGGUCCCAAAGUCAUGGUUAAGUGGGAAACGAUGUGGGAAGGCACAGACAGCCAGGAUGUUGGCUUAGAAGCAGCCAUCAUUUAAAGAAAGCGUAAUAGCUCACUGGUCGAGUCGGCCUGCGCGGAAGAUGUAACGGGGCUAAACCAUGCACCGAAGCUGCGGCAGCGACACUUAGGUGUUGUUGGGUAGGGGAGCGUUCUGUAAGCCGUUGAAGGUGACCUGUGAGGGUUGCUGGAGGUAUCAGAAGUGCGAAUGCUGACAUAAGUAACGAUAAUGCGGGUGAAAAACCCGCACGCCGGAAGACCAAGGGUUCCUGUCCAACGUUAAUCGGGGCAGGGUGAGUCGACCCCUAAGGCGAGGCUGAAAAGCGUAGUCGAUGGGAAACAGGUUAAUAUUCCUGUACUUGGUGUUACUGCGAAGGGGGGACGGAGAAGGCUAGGCUAGCCGGGCGACGGUUGUCCCGGUUUAAGCAUGUAGGCGGAGUGACUUGGUAAAUCCGGUUGCUUAUCAACGCUGAGGUGUGAUGACGAUGCACUACGGUGCAGAAGUAGUUGAUGCCAAGCUUCCAGGAAAAGCCUCUAAGCAUCAGGUAACAUUAAAUCGUACCCCAAACCGACACAGGUGGUCAGGUAGAGAAUACUCAGGCGCUUGAGAGAACUCGGGUGAAGGAACUAGGCAAAAUGGUGCCGUAACUUCGGGAGAAGGCACGCUGGCAUUAGGUAAAGAGACUUGCUCUCGGCGCCGAAGCCAGUCGCAGAUACCAGCUGGCUGCAACUGUUUAAUAAAAACACAGCACUGUGCAAACACGAAAGUGGACGUAUACGGUGUGACGCCUGCCCGGUGCUGGAAGGUUAAUUGAUGGGGUCAGCCUUACGGCGAAGCUCUUGAUCGAAGCCCCAGUAAACGGCGGCCGUAACUAUAACGGUCCUAAGGUAGCGAAAUUCCUUGUCGGGUAAGUUCCGACCUGCACGAAUGGCGUAAUGAUGGCCAGGCUGUCUCCACCCGAGACUCAGUGAAAUUGAACUCGCUGUGAAGAUGCAGUGUACCCGCGGCAAGACGGAAAGACCCCGUGAACCUUUACUAUAGCUUGACACUGAACAUUGAGCCUUGAUGUGUAGGAUAGGUGGGAGGCAUUGAAGUGUGGACGCCAGUCUGCAUGGAGCCAACCUUGAAAUACCACCCUUUAAUGUUUGAUGUUCUAACUCGGCCCCGUAAUCCGGGGUGAGGACAGUGUCUGGUGGGUAGUUUGACUGGGGCGGUCUCCUCCCAAAGAGUAACGGAGGAGCACGAAGGUUAGCUAAUCACGGUCGGACAUCGUGAGGUUAGUGCAAAGGCAUAAGCUAGCUUGACUGCGAGAGUGACGGCUCGAGCAGGUACGAAAGUAGGUCUUAGUGAUCCGGUGGUUCUGAAUGGAAGGGCCAUCGCUCAACGGAUAAAAGGUACUCCGGGGAUAACAGGCUGAUACCGCCCAAGAGUUCAUAUCGACGGCGGUGUUUGGCACCUCGAUGUCGGCUCAUCACAUCCUGGGGCUGAAGUAGGUCCCAAGGGUAUGGCUGUUCGCCAUUUAAAGUGGUACGCGAGCUGGGUUUAGAACGUCGUGAGACAGUUCGGUCCCUAUCUGCCGUGGGCGUUGGAAGAUUGAGAGGGGCUGCUCCUAGUACGAGAGGACCGGAGUGGACGAAUCACUGGUGUUCGGGUUGUCAUGCCAAUGGCAUUGCCCGGUAGCUAAAUUCGGAAGAGAUAACCGCUGAAAGCAUCUAAGCGGGAAACUUGCCUCGAGAUGAGUCUUCCCUGGGGCUUUAAGCCCCCUGAAGGAACGUUAAAGACUAUGACGUUGAUAGGCUGGGUGUGUAAGUGCAGCGAUGCAUUGAGCUAACCAGUACUAAUGAUCCGUGAGGCUUAACCUUACAACACCAAAGGUGUUUUG